RNAcentral lists this small RNA (535 nucleotides) under Diaporthe sp. M42. RNAcentral's name for it is "eukaryotic LSU rRNA". The stretch from base 180 to 333 matches the Rfam family "5.8S ribosomal RNA". The record is from RNAcentral. Lineage: Eukaryota; Fungi; Ascomycota; Sordariomycetes; Diaporthales; Diaporthaceae.
UUGCUGGGACGCGCCCCAGGCGCACCCAGAAACCCUUUGUGAACUUAUACCUUUACUGUUGCCUCGGCGCAUGCCGGCCCCCCCGGGGGCCCCUCGGAGACGAGGAGCAGGCACGCCGGCGGCCAAGUUAACUCUUGUUUUUACACUGAAACUCUGAGAAAAAAACACAAAUGAAUCAAAACUUUCAACAACGGAUCUCUUGGUUCUGGCAUCGAUGAAGAACGCAGCGAAAUGCGAUAAGUAAUGUGAAUUGCAGAAUUCAGUGAAUCAUCGAAUCUUUGAACGCACAUUGCGCCCUCUGGUAUUCCGGAGGGCAUGCCUGUUCGAGCGUCAUUUCAACCCUCAAGCAUUGCUUGGUGUUGGGGCACUGCCUUUAAACGGGCAGGCCCUGAAAUCUAGUGGCGAGCUCGCCAGGACCCCGAGCGCAGUAGUUAAACCCUCGCUCUGGAAGGCCCUGGCGGUGCCCUGCCGUUAAACCCCCAACUUUUGAAAAUUUGACCUCGGAUCAGGUAGGAAUACCCGCUGAACUUAAGCA